This 217-nucleotide unclassified non-coding RNA is filed under the name Ascomycota sp. RNAcentral describes it as "partial contains small subunit ribosomal RNA, internal transcribed spacer 1, and 5.8S ribosomal RNA". The stretch from base 1 to 47 matches the Rfam family "Eukaryotic small subunit ribosomal RNA", at positions 1785 to 1831 of the family's 1831-position model. The record is from RNAcentral. Lineage: Eukaryota; Fungi; Ascomycota.
AAAGUCGUAACAAGGUUUCCGUAGGUGAACCUGCGGAAGGAUCAUUACCUAGAGUUGCGGGCUCUGCCUGCCAUCUCUUACCCAUGUCUUUUGAGUACCUUACGUUUCCUCGGCGGGUUCGCCCGCCGACUGGACAAAAUUAAACCACUUGCAGUUGAAAUCAGCGUCUGAAAAAACUUAAUAGUUACAACUUUCAACAACGGAUCUCUUGGUUCUG